RNAcentral lists this ribosomal RNA (782 nucleotides) under Hypogymnia tubulosa. Its description in RNAcentral is "SSU rRNA". It matches the Rfam family "Bacterial small subunit ribosomal RNA", at positions 356 to 1145 of the family's 1533-position model. Lineage: Eukaryota; Fungi; Ascomycota; Lecanoromycetes; Lecanorales; Parmeliaceae. The record is from RNAcentral.
GAGGAAUGUAUAGCAAUAGCUACUUGCAUCAUUGUAAAAAUGAUGCAGGAUCGACUAUGUCGAAUAAAAUUCUAGGUAGAAUUUUGAUAAUGACCUUGUCUGCCUAUGUGUCUUGACCAAAUUACGUGCCAGCAGUCGCGGUAAUACGUAGAAGACUAGUGUUAUUCAUGUUUAAUCGGUUUAAAGGGUACCUAGACGGUAAAUCAAGCCUAAAAUGAAGGGACUAAUUUACUAGAGUUACUUAUGAGGGGGUAUUAAAGUACUGCUGGUGUAGAGAUGAAAUUCUGUCAUACCUCUUUUCUAUAGAAAAAUAAUGGCACAGGUAUAGGCGAAAGCAUCCCCUUAUGUGAUAACUGACGUUGAGGGACGAAGGCUUUGUGUAGCGAACAGGAUUAGAUACCCCAGUAGUCAAAGCAGAAAAUGAUGAAUGUCAUAGAUUAGAUAAAUAAGUUUAUUCUAUAAAUGAAAGUGUAAGCAUUCCACCUCAAGAGUAAUUUGGCAACAUUGGAACUGAAAUCAUUAGACCGUUUCUGAAACCAGUAGUGAAGUAUGUUGUUUAAUUUGAUGAUCCGCAAAAAACCUUACCACAAUUUGAAUAUUUAUAUCUUUUAUUGUUUUUUUUUUAUUUUCUUCUGAUUUUAAAAAGAGGCGAUAUGAUAUAUUUACAAGCGUUGCACGGCUGUCUUCAGUUAAUGUCGCGAGACUUUGGUUAGUUCCAUUAAAUUAACGUAAACCCUUACUUUAUUUUUAUAUAGAGUAGUUCCCCGCUAUAUUGGAUAUGA